Pantherophis guttatus is the source of this 781-nucleotide non-coding RNA. The record is from RefSeq and is a predicted model, not a curated record. NCBI's taxonomy places the organism in Eukaryota, Metazoa, Chordata, Lepidosauria, Squamata, Colubridae.
UUUUUUUUUUGAGCAAAACCAUCAGACCUGUGAAGGCUCAUGAUUUCCUUCCUGUCCCAAGACUCUACACCAGCUUCAAGAUGUGUAAAAAAUUCUCUUGAGGUUUGUCAUCCAUUACAUUGGAAGGAAGUCAGCUGACUGAGAGUGAGUGAGAAUAAAACCUCAGAGACACAGAGUUGGACCUACAAUGUGGGCAGUAAAUGUCAUGCUAGUAGAGUUUUCUGUUGACUGAAGAGUGUUAAGCACUUCAACUUAGCAGUGGAAAGCAGCACCGUUCACUCCAUCAGCAGCACAGUUCACAGUUCACAGCAGCACAGUGAGCAUGGAUGGGGAUUGAGUUCUUUGGCAAGACCUUUGAAGAUUGCACAACAUGAUAGAAGAAAGUGAAAAGUCUUAAUGAGAAAACCUGUUUUGCAUUCUGUUGUUGCAAUGAAGAUAAAGAAGGUGUCUAUGAGAGGUCAAGGAAGAGAGGAAUCAAUCUCACCAGACUAAAGAAAACAAAAAGAUAAUUCAAAAUUCUCUGGGAGCAGCUUGUUCACACAUUUGACUCCUCGGUAAGUCGCAGUCAUGUGCAACAGGGCUCUUCUGCAGUUGUGAAAAAGUAGCACACCUGUGAUCAUGAUCAUGAUCAACCUUGCUUUCUUCAGAAUUGCCACUGGUUACAGAUUCCAUUGUUAGCCCAUCAGUGUUAAAAACAACCUCAGCCUUAGCAUCAUUUGGCUAAAUAUCUUCACUGGCCUUCUAGAGUUCCUAAAAUAGAAUAAAGAGCAUUUUAUUGCAA